UAACUGUAAACGAUGCGGACUUGGUGUUGGGGUGGCUCUGAGCUGCUUCAGUGCCGAAGGGAAGCUGUUAAGUCCGCCGCCUGGGAAGUACGGUCGACAAGACUGAAACUUAAAGGAAUUGGCGGGGGAGCACCACAACACGUGGAGCCUGCGGUUUAAUUGGAUUCAACGCCGGACAUCUCACCGGAUAAGACAGCUGAAUGAUUGUCAAUCUGAAGGUUUUACAUGACUAGCUGAGAGGAGGUGCAUGGCGUCAGUGACU
Molecule: ribosomal RNA, 262 nt
Filed under: uncultured archaeon
Lineage: Archaea
Description: partial 16S ribosomal RNA
Rfam family: Archaeal small subunit ribosomal RNA
Source: RNAcentral